AUUGAACGCUGGCGGCAUGCCUUACACAUGCAAGUCGAACGGCAGCACGGGUGCUUGCACCUGGUGGCGAGUGGCGAACGGGUGAGUAAUAUAUCGGAACGUACCUUAUUGUGGGGGAUAACGCAGCGAAAGCUGUGCUAAUACCGCAUAAUCCCUAAGGGGGAAAGCGGGGGACCGUAAGGCCUCGCGCAAUUAGAGCGGCCGAUACCUGAUUAGCUAGUUGGUGAGGUAAAGGCUCACCAAGGCAACGAUCAGUAGCUGGUCUGAGAGGAAGAUCAGCCACACGGGGACUGAGACACGGGCCAGACUCCUACGGGAGGCAGCAGUGGGGAAUUUUGGACAAUGAGGGCAACCCUGAUCCAGCAAUGCCGCGAGAGUGAAGAAUGCCUUCGGGUUGUAAAGCUCUUUUGUCAGGGAAGAAACAGCAGCUCUAACACAGUUUGCGAAUGACGGUACCUGAAGAAUAAGCACCGGCUAACUACGUGCCAGCCGCCGCCGUAA
RNAcentral lists this ribosomal RNA (501 nucleotides) under uncultured bacterium. RNAcentral describes it as "partial 16S ribosomal RNA". It matches the Rfam family "Bacterial small subunit ribosomal RNA", at positions 30 to 523 of the family's 1533-position model. The record is from RNAcentral.